GCAAGUCGAACGGUGAAGCCAAGCUUGCUUGGUGGAUCAGUGGCGAACGGGUGAGUAACACGUGAGCAACCUGCCCUGGACUCUGGGAUAAGCGCUGGAAACGGCGUCUAAUACUGGAUAUGAGACGUGAUCGCAUGGUCGUGUUUGGAAAGAUUUUUCGGUCUGGGAUGGGCUCGCGGCCUAUCAGCUUGUUGGUGAGGUAAUGGCUCACCAAGGCGUCGACGGGUAGCCGGCCUGAGAGGGUGACCGGCCACACUGGGACUGAGACACGGCCCAGACUCCUACGGGAGGCAGCAGUGGGGAAUAUUGCACAAUGGGCGAAAGCCUGAUGCAGCAACGCCGCGUGAGGGAUGACGGCCUUCGGGUUGUAAACCUCUUUUAGCAGGGAAGAAGCGAAAGUGACGGUACCUGCAGAAAAAGCGCCGGCUAACUACGUGCCAGCAGCCGCGGUAAUACGUAGGGCGCAAGCGUUAUCCGGAAUUAUUGGGCGUAAAGAGCUCGUAGGCGGUUUGUCGCGUCUGCUGUGAAAUCCCGAGGCUCAACCUCGGGCCUGCAGUGGGUACGGGCAGACUAGAGUGCGGUAGGGGAGAUUGGAAUUCCUGGUGUAGCGGUGGAAUGCGCAGAUAUCAGGAGGAACACCGAUGGCGAAGGCAGAUCUCUGGGCCGUAACUGACGCUGAGGAGCGAAAGGGUGGGGAGCAAACAGGCUUAGAUACCCUGGUAGUCCACCCCGUAAACGUUGGGAACUAGUUGUGGGGACCAUUCCACGGUUUCCGUGACGCAGCUAACGCAUUAAGUUCCCCGCCUGGGGAGUACGGCC
This 819-nucleotide ribosomal RNA is filed under the name Microbacterium sp. Mb21. Its description in RNAcentral is "bacterial SSU rRNA". It matches the Rfam family "Bacterial small subunit ribosomal RNA", at positions 57 to 887 of the family's 1533-position model. Lineage: Bacteria; Bacillati; Actinomycetota; Actinomycetes; Micrococcales; Microbacteriaceae. The record is from RNAcentral.